CCUUGGCAGCGAAUGCCCAUUGAAAGAAAAACAUUUAUUUCUUCAUGACAUGCAACAGCAGACAUACCAGACCCACAUCCCAGCGAGAUGCAAGAGGUCUCAAGGAGAAAAAGAAAGGCUUCUGCCAUGGCUAGUUGAAAACAUAAGGGCUUAGCAGGAGAAACAGCCUUUGAUUCUGAGUCACAGCUCAUAUCCUGCCCUGCUCCAGCACUUCCUCAUUCACAGCAGAAGCUCCUCGCAGCAGCACGUUUGGAUCUCAAAACGUGCCGAGGGAACUCAGGGAGAUUCCACAGAGGAAAAAGCAACUGCCUCCUUUGGAAACUGAGCAUCCCUGAACAGCCACCAAAGGUGACAGUCCAGGUGCUGGAACAUGCCCAUGACUGAGCUUUGGUUCAACAACAGAGACACAAGCAGCAGCUGAAGAGUCUGGUGAAGCUCCUGACAGGGACAGAUUCCC
RNAcentral lists this long non-coding RNA (457 nucleotides) under Chloebia gouldiae (Gouldian finch). Its description in RNAcentral is "Erythrura gouldiae (Gouldian finch) lncRNA (ENSEGOG00005006694.1)". The record is from RNAcentral. Lineage: Eukaryota; Metazoa; Chordata; Aves; Passeriformes; Passeridae.